AUGGCGUCCAUCGUGGUGAUCGGCCUGGUGCUGCUCCUCGACAUCCUCGCCUUCGUCCUCGCCAUCGGCACCGAGCGCCGCCGGAGCACGGCCGGAGGCAUCGAGUUCUUGAAUCUUGACUGGGGAAACUGGGUGCAGGCGCAACUCGGCGAGGCCGAGCCUGGUGGCAGGCGGUACUGCGUGUACGACAUGGAUGCGUCCACCUGGUAUGGCGUCAGCGCGCUCGCCCUGCUGCUGGUCGGGUAG
This 246-nucleotide ribosomal RNA is filed under the name Triticum aestivum (bread wheat). RNAcentral describes it as "partial small subunit ribosomal RNA". Lineage: Eukaryota; Viridiplantae; Streptophyta; Magnoliopsida; Poales; Poaceae. The record is from RNAcentral.